UUAACAACGGCAACAUAAAAAUGGUGACCAGCGCCAGCAACAGCAUUUGGUCUCGACAGUGUGGCAGGGCCGGCCCUCGCCCAAGGCCGACCAAGGCGGUCGCCUUGGGCCUCAAAUUUUAGAGGGCCUUAAGGGAUGGAAAAAUAAAAAAUAAGUUAGGGCAAGUUUCAGACGACACAAUCUGCUUCGACACUCCGCAGGGCGCAGCCUCCGCUAUCGCCUCAGGUGACAAGUUCACCUAGGGCCUCUCAAAAUAUUUGGAAUCUCAGGGCCGGCCCUGCCGUGUGGUUAUGCGCGGAGACAAAGAAGGACGAAGAUACUACUACUUGCUGCCUCAGUUGCUCAAACAUCCAAACUUUGACAACCGCCGAGCUGUUCAACAAGUCCACUCUCAACUCAUCACCAAUGCUUCACACUCUGCUGAAAUGCCGAUGACAAUCUGGAACAAUAUACUUCGACACUACUCACUCAGUUCCUUCCCCGAAGAAGCUAUCUUUCUCUACAAACACCUUCAAUUCCACCAACCACACUGGCCCAUUUUGUUCGAUAGCUUCACCUACUCUUUCCUUGUCAAAGCCUGCGCUAAUUUGCAGCGAACUAUAAUGGGUGUGCAAUUUCAUGGUCUUACUCUCAAAGCUGGAUUCGAGUUUCAUGUUUACGUGCAAACUGCUCUGGUCAAUAUGUAUGUGGUUUGUGGGUCUGUUUUUGAAGCGAAGAAGGUGUUCGAUGAAAUGCCUGAGAGAAACUCCGUCACCUGGAAUGCUUUGAUCACUGGUCUAAUGAAAUGUGAGGAGUUGGAGCUCUCUCGUUCUCUCUUUGAAGUGAUGCCGACUAAGAAUGUCGUUUCGUGGACUGGCCUCAUUGAUGGGUAUGCGAGGAUGAAUCGGCCGAAGGAAGCUAUGUUGUUGUUUCGGAGAAUGGUUGUGGAUGAAGGCAUUAAACCAACUGAAAUAACGAUUUUGGCGAUUCUCCCAGCACUUUGGAAUCUCAGGGCUCUUGAGCUUUGCCAGUCCGUCCAUGCUUACGGAGAGAGAAGUGGGUUCAAUGCAUCUGAUAUUCGCAUAAUGAAUUGCCUUAUAGAUGCUUAUGCAAAAUGUGGUUGUGUAGAGAGUGCAUUAAGACUUUUCGAGGAUGUGUCUGCAGAGAGGAGGAAUUUGGUGUCAUGGACCUCAAUAAUAUCUGGGCUUGCAAUGCACGGGAUGGCGAAAGAAGCUGUGGAUAAUUUUAGAAGAAUGGAGAAUGCUCGUGUGAUGCCGAAUAGUGUGACGUUUUUGAGUGUUCUAAAUGCCUGCAGCCAUGGAGGGUUGGUCGAAGAGGGGCUCUCGAUUUUCAGGAAGAUGGUUAAUGAGUGUCAACUUAUACCAAACAUUAAGCACUAUGGGUGCUUAAUAGACAUGUUGGGAAGGGCCGGGAGGUUUGAGGAAGCAGAAAAGAUGGCUUUGGAGAUUCCUCCUGAGAUGGCCAAUGUUGUGAUUUGGAGGACGCUUCUGGGUGCUUGUAGUUUCCAUGGUAAUGUUGAGAUGGGAGAAAGAGUUACAAGGAAGAUACUAGAGAUGGAAAGGGGAUAUGGUGGUGACUAUGUGCUUUUGUCCAACAUAUUUGCCGGUGUUGGUAGGUUUGCAGAUUCAGAAAGGACAAGGGGAGUGAUGGAUGAGAGAAAUGCCCCCAAAGUUCCUGGCCUUAGUUUGGUCUGAUUAAUAGAGAAGUGGAAAUUAAAAUGCAUGAAAAGAGGAUCGUUCAAGAAGGGCUAGUUCAUCAUAUAUGACCAAGAAGAAGUUGAAGUCAACCACUGGUUCAGGUAUGCUAAUAUACUAUGGAAGGAUGAGUGUACCAAGAAGAGAUCAUAUUAACACUGGGUAUGAGUGUCAAUAUAUAUGUAGAAGCACAACACUGCCCUUCUCAAGCAUGCACAUUUUCAGUUAGUGAGCAGGCAUCAUUGCACAUCUCGGUAAGUAAUGGUUUUGUGAUAUCUAUAUAUAUUAUCAGAUUUGCUCCAGCAAGUGUGAUUGGCUUUUUUCUUGCGGCUUAAAGUUUCAGUGUGGUUCAUGCUUGCACACUGAAUAAAAGAUAUAAGCCUUGUCAUACUCUAAAGACACUUGACCGGAGCAAGGUUUGGCACUGGUGUCCAAUUUACUGAACAGAAACUACCGGUUUUCCUUUCUUUUGGUUGCCUACUCCAUGCAACAACCAGCUCAGUUCUAUUUGGUAAGACAAGAAAUUCAUGGGCUUGGCAAAGUAUAUGUUCAUCUUGUGGAGUUCUGAAACACACAUUGAAGUGGCGGAUGGCUAAAGGUGAUCAAGUCGAUAUUUGGUUGUAUCCGUUCAUUCUUGCAGAUGUCAUCCUUCAUAGUAUCAGUUCAUGCAAGGAAUUUUCUUCUUUCAUGGCAUAUUUGGACGCAAGGCAUCUUCUCGUUGCAGACUUACAUGGUUCCAUGGUUGCAAAAUUUGAUUGCAUAUGUGGAUGCAAGCCAUCUCAUUUUAUGGCUUUACGUUCAGUCCAUAUUAUGUCCGGGUCUUGUAUAUCUUCAGAUUUAUAUAUGAUCAGCCUUGCAAGUGCUCAAAAAUUCAAUCGUAGUUAUCCGAAGUCCCUACUAGUACAUGUGCACGAAUUUAUCUUCUUCCUUACCUUCCGAAAAAAAAAAUUCUUCUUCCUUCUUGUUCAGGGGAGGGAUGCCUCUUUCCUUAAAGCCUUGUACAUGUUCAAUACUUAAAUAUAAAUUAUUAUUCCUUUUAAAUUA
RNA transcript from Cornus florida, 2738 nucleotides. It is a transcript of the gene named pentatricopeptide repeat-containing protein At1g09220, mitochondrial-like, with no coding region annotated. The record is from RefSeq and is a predicted model, not a curated record. The transcript is spliced from 6 exons. Lineage: Eukaryota; Viridiplantae; Streptophyta; Magnoliopsida; Cornales; Cornaceae.